Molecule: ribosomal RNA, 401 nt
Filed under: uncultured eukaryote
Lineage: Eukaryota
Description: partial 18S ribosomal RNA
Rfam family: Eukaryotic small subunit ribosomal RNA
Source: RNAcentral
CUCUAAUAGCGUAUAUUAUAUUGUUGCAGUUAAAAAGCUCGUAGUUGAAAUUUGGGACUUUAUUAUUAUUGGUUUAUCUUUUGAUGAACUGUAUAAUGGGUUUCUUCCUACUAGAGUUCGAUUCUGUUCUUAAUUGAAUGGAGUAGCUAUCUCUCGGGGUAGUCAGUUGGUUAUUAUGUCUCCACUAAUGAGCGGAGAGGGGUAAAACCUUCAAAGUGAGUUUUGUGGGUCAAGAUAUAGUGAUUAAUUGGAGUUCUAGUUCGUUUACUUUGAGAAAAUUAGAGUGUUUAAAGCAGCCUCUUGGGGCACUGAAUACAUUAGCAUGGGGAUAAUAAAAUAGGAUCUUCACAAUAUAUUUUUAUUGGUUUAAAUUGCGUAUGAAGAUAAUGAUUAAUAGGGAC